AAACCGCCCUUUUCCGGUUCGUUGAGACGCCACUGCUUGCGAUACUGCUAUGGCGAGCCCGACAGCGAUAGUUUCAUACAACGCCGACUCCUGGGAAGAGUGCAUCAAGGGUGGAAGCGUGGAAGGAAAGUCUUUGUCUGUGAGGAUAAAAAAUUUGCAGCAGACAUUGAAUGUAAGGUUAACGGAACUUGUGGAUAAACAACGCGCAAAUGCGAAGGGCGACGUGAACCAGACGACAGUGGCGGACGCCACUGACGAGGGCGAAAGUGAAGAAGAUGAAGACGAAGACGAAGACGCUGUUCCAAGGAAGAAAGCAAAAACAUGAAUGAAAAGUGGUCAUGAGUCUCGAUGAAACGUUGCCUAAUAAACCUCACCUCGCCCAAA
Long non-coding RNA from Pollicipes pollicipes, 384 nucleotides. RefSeq lists it as uncharacterized. The record is from RefSeq and is a predicted model, not a curated record. NCBI's taxonomy places the organism in Eukaryota, Metazoa, Arthropoda, Thecostraca, Pollicipedomorpha, Pollicipedidae. The transcript is spliced from 2 exons.